Molecule: transfer RNA, 77 nt
Filed under: Mucilaginibacter ginsenosidivorans
Lineage: Bacteria; Pseudomonadati; Bacteroidota; Sphingobacteriia; Sphingobacteriales; Sphingobacteriaceae
Description: tRNA-Pro
Rfam family: tRNA
About the family: Transfer RNA (tRNA) molecules are approximately 80 nucleotides in length. Their secondary structure includes four short double-helical elements and three loops (D, anti-codon, and T loops).
Source: RNAcentral
CGGGGUGUAGCGUAGCCCGGUAUCGCGCCACAUUUGGGAUGUGGAGGCCGCAGGUUCGAAUCCUGCCACCCCGACAA